CAAGAGGGAAGUUUUUUAAAAGCAACAGGAAGAAUUGCUCAGAUACCCGUGAGCGUAUAUAACUUGGGUCGUGUUAUAAAUGCUCUGGCUAAACCUAUUGAUGGAAGAGGCGAAAUUGUAGCUUUCGAAUCUCGCUUAAUUGAAUCUCCUGCUCCAAGUAGAAUUUCCUGGCAUUCCAUAUACAAACCUCUUCAAACAGGGCUUACUGCUAUCAACUCGAUGAUCCCUAUAGGGCGCGGUCAGCAAGAGUUCAUUAUUGGGGACAGACAGACUUGCAAAACAGCAGUAGCCACAGAUACAAUUCUCAAGAAAAAAGGGCAAGGUGUAAUAUGUGUUUAUGUAGCUAUCGGUCAAAGAGCAUCCUCCAUAGCUCAAGUAGUAACUACUUUCCAUGAGGAGGGGGCCAUGGAAUACACUAUUGUAGUAGCUGAAAUGGCAUAUUCACCUGCUACAUUACAAUACCUCGCUCCUUAUACGGGAGCAGCCCUGGCUGAGUAUUUUAUGUACCGCGAAUGUCAUACUGUAAUAAUUUAUGAUGAUCUCUCCAAACAGGCACAAACUUAUCGCCAAAUGUCCCUUCUAUUAACAAGACCUCCCGGCCGUGAGGCUCAUCCUGGGGAUGUUUUUUAUUUGCAUUCACGCCUUUUAGAAAGAGCCACGAAAUUAAAUUCUCUUUUAGGCGAAGGAAGUAUGACCGCUUUUCCAAUAGUUGAGACUCAAUCUGGAGACGUUUCCGCCUAUAUUCCUACUAAUGUAAUCUCCAUUACAGAUGGAUAAAUAUUAUUAUCUGCGGAUCUAUUCCAUGCUGGAAUUCGACCCGCUAUUAAUGUGGGUAUUUCUGUUUCUAGAGUAGGAUCCGCGGCUCAAAUUAAAGCCAUGAAACAAGUAGCUGGCAAAUCUAAAUUGGAACUAGCUCAAUUCACCGAGUGACAAGCCUAUUUCGCCUCUGCUCUCGAUAAAACAAGUCAGAAUCAAUUGGCAAGGGGUCGACGAUUAAGGGAAUUGCUUAAACAAUCCCAGGCAAAUCCUCUCCCAGUGGAAGAGCAGAUAGCUACUAUUUAUACCGGAACAAGAGGAUAUCUUGAUUCGUUAGAAAUUGAACAGGUAAAGAAAUAG
Molecule: ribosomal RNA, 1116 nt
Filed under: Triticum aestivum (bread wheat)
Lineage: Eukaryota; Viridiplantae; Streptophyta; Magnoliopsida; Poales; Poaceae
Description: partial small subunit ribosomal RNA
Source: RNAcentral